GACGAACGCUGGCGGCGUGCUUAACACAUGCAAGUCGAACGGAAAGGCCCUGCUCUUGCGGGGUGCUCGAGUGGCGAACGGGUGAGUAACACGUGAGUAACCUGCCCUUGACUUUGGGAUAACUUCAGGAAACUGGGGCUAAUAUCGGAUAGGAGCUCCUGCUGCAUGGUGGGGGUUGGAAAGUUUCGGCGGUUGGGGAUGGACUCGCGGCUUAUCAGCUUGUUGGUGGGGUAGUGGCUUACCAAGGCUUUGACGGGUAGCCGGCCUGAGAGGGUGACCGGCCACAUUGGGACUGAGGUACGGCCCAGACUCCUACGUGCGGCAGCAGUGGGGAGUAUUGCGGAGUGGGCGGAAGCCUGAUACAGCAGCGCCGCGUGCGGGAUGACGGCCUUCGGGUUGUAAACCGCUUUCGCCUGUGACGAAGCGGGAGUGACGGUAAUGGGUAAAGAAGCACCGGCUAACUACGUG
This 468-nucleotide ribosomal RNA is filed under the name uncultured bacterium. RNAcentral describes it as "partial 16S ribosomal RNA". It matches the Rfam family "Bacterial small subunit ribosomal RNA", at positions 28 to 507 of the family's 1533-position model. The record is from RNAcentral.